UUUUUUUUUUUUUUUUGGUUUUCCUUCUUCAGUUGCAAGGUUGAGAAAGCGUUCAAGGCUGAGUCUUUUUACAUUGGUUUUGAUGGAUAUAUGUAGCCUUCCAUGUAUAAUCACACUUGUGCUAAUUUGUGUUUCAUAUAUUUCUUGAACUAUUUCAUCUGCAGCUAGACAUGGAUUUUAUGCAAUGCGACAUCAGCAACUUAAAAUGGAGAGGUAUCUUUUUCACCUCACUUUUCAGCCCCGAAAGAAAAUAUCUCUCUCUCUUUCUCUUGGGUCAUUGAUAUUCCACUAUGUGUAGGUCAGAUUGUUGAAACUGUGGUUAUGAAUCCACCUUUUGGAACACGGAGGAAAGGUGCUGACAUGGACUUCCUCUCUUCGGCGAUGAAGGUACGGUAGUGCUCUCCAUAUAAUUGGUAUCCAAGAUUUAUAUUAUUUGCUCAAUAUCCUGUUUUGUUGUUUGCAUUGGCACUUUGGCCCCAUCUAUUCCUAGAUUAAUGUGUGGUUUUAUUGAUGUAUCAGGUUGCUUCUCAAGCAGUUUAUUCCUUACAUAAAACCACAACUAGAGAAGUAAGUUUUUCCAUACUGUCUUCCCACAACAAAGGGAUUGAUUGGUGAAAAAAAAUAUUUGUGUAGCAUCCACUGUAAAUAGCUUAAUUAUGAACUUUCUUGAGUUUGUGAACCAGGGACAUAAAGAACAGAGUCUAGGGUGACAGAAGAUACAGGUUUGGCUUUUCCAACCCCUUUUGGUUUUGUUUGGAUCCCAUUGGCUAAAGUAAUAGCUGGAAGAGAUUGUGAAUAAACAAUAUCAGACAGUAGUGAUUUAUUACCAGAGAUAUGAUCAGAAGCCCCUGAGUCUAUGACCCAUGAUCCAAGAGUGCUAGACUGUGACACACAAGUAAAUGAAUUACCCACAACAGAAACAUCAGGUUGUGCAACCGAAACUACUUGUGGAGACGUUUGUUUAUUUGCACGAUACCGAAGGAACUCUUUAUAUUCCUUUAGAACAAUAGGAUCAUAACUGGGUGGUGGACCAUGCAAAAUAUAACAUACGUCACGAGUGUGUCCAGGUUUAUGACAAUGACUACACUUGGAUCGAGAUUUUCCAAAACGUUCUCUCCUUCGUCGAUUCUCCAUAGACUGGUAUGUAUGCUGGAAACUGANNNNNNNNNNNNNNNNNNNNNNNNNNNNNNNNNNNNNNNNNNNNNNNNNNNNNNNNNNNNNNNNNNNNNNNNNNNNNNNNNNNNNNNNNNNNNNNNNNNNNNNNNNNNNNNNNNNNNNNNNNNNNNNNNNNNNNNNNNNNNNNNNNNNNNNNNNNNNNNNNNNNNNNNNNNNNNNNNNNNNNNNNNNNNNNNNNNNNNNNNNNNNNNNNNNNNNNNNNNNNNNNNNNNNNNNNNNNNNNNNNNNNNNNNNNNNNNNNNNNNNNNNNNNNNNNNNNNNNNNNNNNNNNNNNNNNNNNNNNNNNNNNNNNNNNNNNNNNNNNNNNNNNNNNNNNNNNNNNNNNNNNNNNNNNNNNNNNNNNNNNNNNNNNNNNNNNNNNNNNNNNNNNNNNNNNNNNNNNNNNNNNNNNNNNNNNNNNNNNNNNNNNNNNNNNNNNUAUUCCUAUUCCUAUUCCUAUUCCUAUUCCUAUUCCUAUUCCUAUUCCUAUUCCUAUUCCUAUUCCUAUUCCUAUUCCUAUUCCUAUUCCUAUUCCUAUUCCUAUUCCUAUUCCUAUUCCUAUUCCUAUUCCUAUUCCUAUUCCUAUUCCUAUUCCUAUUCCUAUUCCUAUUCCUAUUCCUAUUCCUAUUCCUAUUCCUAUUCCUAUUCCUAUUCCUAUUCCUAUUCCUAUUCCUAUUCCUAUUCCUAUUCCUAUUCCUAUUCCUAUUCCUAUUCCUAUUCCUAUUCCUAUUCCUAUUCCUAUUCCUAUUCCUAUUCCUAUUCCUAUUCCUAUUCCUAUUCCUAUUCCUAUUCCUAUUCCUAUUCCUAUUCCUAUUCCUAUUCCUAUUCCUAUUCCUAUUCCUAUUCCUAUUCCUAUUCCUAUUCCUAUUCCUAUUCCUAUUCCUAUUCCUAUUCCUAUUCCUAUUCCUAUUCCUAUUCCUAUUCCUAUUCCUAUUCCUAUUCCUAUUCCUAUUCCUAUUCCUAUUCCUAUUCCUAUUCCUAUUCCUAUUCCUAUUCCUAUUCCUAUUCCUAUUCCUAUUCCUAUUCCUAUUCCUAUUCCUAUUCCUAUUCCUAUUCUAAGUAGGAAAUACUUAUUUCUAUUCUAACAGUGGUGCUCAUAAAUCAUGCUGAUGUAAAUUAAGUUGCUGUCACUUCUCGACGAAAACAAAACAAAAAAAGAAGAAGAAAAGUUGCUGAUUUUAUCAAGGCAUGCCCUUUAUCAAUACAGUUAUCUGAAUGUUCAACUCCUAUUCUGAAUGUUGAAUUUACUCUUUCUAGCACAAAACUAAUAAAUAAGCUUAGAUUUACCAUUUAUGAACUAAAAAAGUAGUAUACUUUUGGUUUACUUAGUUGUUUUCGGUUGGGGCGAGGGUGGAUGGGAAGGGAAGAAGGAACCUUAUUAACUGAAACAUCCUCAAGCAAGUAUCCAUUGCCUUUGAAAUAAUUGUUGUUGGUGUUUCCUUAAUUAAUGGAACCGCGUUGAAGAAGAGGGAAUUGAACAAAGUCUAAGGUUUUCGAAGUAGAAAGUUAAUGAGGUUGGCCUGUUAGUGAAUGGAGGCUGACACAUUAUACAUUCGGGAAAAGGAAAGCUUCAUUGAGACAAUUCUAUUUCAUCCCAAAUUUAGAUCCUUUUUCAAAACAUUGGUGCUCGUGUCAGCUUUGUGACUAGUACAUGUAUUGAGUGACUCUGUGCACUAUGAUUUGGGCAGAUGAGAAGAGUUCACAUAGCGUUUGGAGUUCAACCCCUGGUCUCCAUGGUUUUCACUCCACAUCAUUAACCAAUGACCACUAGGCUACACCUUUGUGUCUCAAUAUUAAGUCAUUCAUUUUUAACCAUGUAUUUUUGUUCUUGUUUAUAGCAGUUAUGAUUCCCCUAGAUCUCUUCGCACUAAACGUGUUGCCUUGUUUGGUGUUCUAAAUUUUCUUUUGUUACACGAGUAAAACUGCAUACAAUUUGUGAAGUUCAUUCCAUGUUUCUGCGCACAAGAGUGCUCUGAUCUAGGUCGUGAUUUGGCAUUUGUGUAUGGUCUUAACAGCAUGUGAAAAGAGCAGCCUUGCGAGAUUAUAAUGCAAGAAGUGCUGAAGUUAUAUGUGAGGUACACAUCGAUACAAUCAGAUUCAGCAUUUUGCAUGCUAUUGAUGUUAAGUGAAAUUCGAUGUAGCCUUAUGAAUGUUUUGUGCCUUAUCUCUCUCAAUUGUAGCUUCGGUAUGAUGUGCCACAACUGUACAAAUUUCACAAGAAAAAGGAGGUUGACAUUGCUGUGGACCUGUGGCGUUUUGUUCCUCAAAGAAAGCAAGAAAGAUCUCUCUAGUAUUAUAAAAAUAGCAAGUAUACAGAGAUGAUGAUGCAUGUAAAAUUAAGGACACCCCAUUUCUUAACUGGAGCAGGAUGGAUAAUGGAUUCUCAUGUUGUUGCAAGUAUAGUUCUAUAAAGGAAGUACAGAAUAUUUUGUACCAUGCCUGCGUCUGCAAACUACUUUGACCUCCGGGGCUCUUAGUUCUAUUCUAUUAGCAAAGGUUGAGGGACUUGUGUCUUGAGUCACUUAUAAAUUAUAAUCUUAGUACAUCUGGCAUUUUGUUCCUCAAAGAAAACAAGAAAGAUCUCUCUAGUAUAUUAUGAAAGUAGCUAUAUUCAGAAUGUUAGUAGUAUAGACUUGAAUGUUGUCUCACUUAUCCUUCCAUACUAGUAGUUGUAGUAUUACUCUUGUACUUUCUUGUUUCUUCCAUAUAUGUUGCUACUAUUUAUUGUUCCUUGUAUUUCGAUCAUCGUUUUUUAUUCUAGUUACUGUUCAUUUUUUUCUUUUUUCAUAAUGCUUUCUCAUGCCUUGUUAGUAUUUUGCCUAGGUUUCUUCACUCCUGUUAAUUUCUUGAGCCGGGGGUCUAUUGAAAAUAACUUCUCUACCUCCCAAGGUAGGGGGGUAAGGUCUGCAUACACACUAUCCUUCCUAGACCCUACUUGUGUAAUUACACUGUGUAGGUUGUUGUAGCAGUAUGCAGAAGAGAUGCUAGUAAAAUCUCAGACACAUCUAUUGAUAUGACUAUUUAACCAUACUACCCCUAUUAAUUGAUGUUCAGUAUUAGGUCAUAAGUAAUUAAUGUUAAGGGUAAAACAUGGAAAAAUAAUAAUUGUCUCGUGGACAUAAUUAAAAGUGACAAGCAAAAAUGAAAAUCUAUAUUUGUAAUAGUAGACAAAUAAAAAUAAACAUACGGAGUAUCAGAGUGAUUCUACUUUUGGAUCGUCUCGACAUAAUUAACCAAAUCAAAUUGUGUUCUCUCUAAUAGUUUAAGCUUUGAGAUGGUCGUACACGCUCUUGGCUUAUGACAAAGCAUUACUAAGUGUGCUUUCUCUAGUAGGGUGAGUUUUAGAUGAGUCGCGGGUGGAGAUGUGCGCUUACGACAUAAUUAACUAAAUAAAAGUGUUUGUUACUUGUUACUCUCUAAUAGGAUGAGGUUUUAGAGCAAAAAGGUAUGUUUAAGAUAAAAUUGAUUAAAAAAAAGUUAUGUCCUAUUUGUUUAUCUUAGUGGACACUCAAUUUUAUAUCAUGAAUUAUUGAAAAGUAUGUUAGUUGGAACAAUUAGCAACCAGUCUUCUUGAUAUGUUCUUUUAUGUAUACUGUGAAAUUAGCCUUUUGAGUUCAGAGAGAGACUCUUUGAUUGAGAAGAAGGACAAAUGGCUUAUGUUGCUAUAACUUGUCAUAUGAGAACCAUACAACAAUCGAUGGAAGUUACUUGAUAUAAUUUUCAAUCGUUCUAUAAGAAGCUUGAAUCCCUGAGAGCUAUUAUGAGAAACCUUGCAAUAUAACAGGUGAUCUUGAAGUAUUGAAAAGAUUGGAAGCUGAAGUCGUAGAGCUUGUAUGCAGCACAGAAGAUAUUGUGGAUUUGGAAUCAAGAAAUGUUGAAAAUCCAAUUUCAAGAAUUAAUAACUUUUUGGAAACUUCAUUUUCUCUUGAAACAAGUAGUAGGGCGCGUUGAUUCCAUGGUGAACAAGUGGAAAGAUGUAGAAGCACAUAACUUGGCUUUCACCAGUACUACAUCUCAACAUGUUGUGGAGCCGAUUGUUGGCCAUAAAAAUGAAUUCGAGAUGAUGCAGGAUCAACUUGUCAGAGGAGCAAGUGAACUAGAAGUUGUCUCAAUUGUAGGUAUGGGUGGCAUCGGUAAAACAACUUUGGCUAACAAAAUUUACAAUGAUUCAUUCAUUAUGUCUCACUUUGACGUUCGUGCAAAAGCUACUGUUUCACAAGAGCAUUGUGUGAGAAAUGUACUCUUAACCCUUCUUUCUUGUAUUAGUGUAAAGACUGAUGAAUCUGAUGAUAAGUGUCAAGAGGAUGGGCAACUAGCAUAUCGAUUGCAAAAGCUUCUAAAAGGCAGGGGGAGAUUCUUGGUAGUCAUUGAUGACAUAUGGACUAGAAAAGCUUGGGAUGAUAUAAAACUAUGUUUCCCAGACUGUAAUAAUGGAAGCCGAAUACUCAUGAUUACUCGGAAUGUGGAAGUAGCUGAAUAUGCUAGCUCAGGUAUUCCUCCUUUUCAAAUGUGCCUCAUGAAUUUUGAUGAAAGUUGGAGUUUACUGUAUGAAAAGGUCUUUGUUGUGAGAGAUUCGUUUCCCCCAGAAUUUGAACAACUUGGGAAGCUAAUUGCAUUAAAAUGCGGAGGAUUACCUCUAGCAAUUGUUGCAACUGCUGGAGUUCUCUCGAAAAGUGGUAAAACAUUGAACGUUUGGAGAAGUGUUGCUGAGAAUGUAAGUUUAGCAGUAAGCACUGAUCUUGAAGUCCAAUGCAUGACAGUGCUAGCUUUGAGUUACCAUCACUUGCCUCGUCACCUAAAACCGUGCUCUCUGUAUUUUGCAAUCUUCCCAGAGGAUGAAGUGAUUUUUGUCGAUAAACAUGUGGAGUUAUGGGUUGUAGAAGGUUUCUUGAAGGUAGAAGAGACAAAGUGUUGAAGAAGUGGCAGAAAAAUGUCUAAAAGAACUUAUUGAUAGAAGUUUAAUAUCCAUACAGAACUUGAGCUUUGAUUGGGAAAAUCAAGAGUUGUGGAAUGCAUGAUGUGACUCGCAAACUCUGCUUGAGAGAAGCUCGAAACAUGAAUUUUGUGAAUGUUAUUAGAAGAAACAAUGAUCAAAAUCAAUGUGCACAACAACCCAUGUAUUUUUCCUCUAAGAGUCGAGGUCGGAUCAGCAUCCAAUUUAACCCUCUGUUAUACAAUAAAAUCGCUGAAAAAUUUGCUAGAUGUUGUAACAGUGACGUUCACUCUAUUUUCCUGUUUCGUGGACAACGAGAGCUUAUGCCAGAAUUGUUGGGCUUCAAGCUUGCAAGGGUACUACUAGAUCUUGCUUUAAUGAGAUGUUCUGCAUUUCCCAGUGAGAUACUUGAUUUGAUUCACUUGAGAUACCUGGCUUUGACUCUUUCUCCUUGCUUGAAGCAUCAUCUACGACGAGAGAGUCCUUUUGCCUUGCAGCACCAUCAACGACGAGAGAUUCCCUCAUCAAUAGAUGUUCCUUCAUUGAUAUCUGGCCUAUUUAUCUGCAGACUUUUAUACUUAACCUUCCAUUUUCCAUUGAUGGGGAACAUCCUUUGAUAUUACCAUCAGGAAUUCUGGUAAUGCCACAAUUAAGGCACACCUCUAUUUGGGAUGGAACUACUUGUGGUAUCACGAGCCUAUGGAGAAAAGAUUGGUUCUGAAAACUUUACAAAGUCUGUCUGGAUGGAAUCCGAGGUAUUGUACUAGGUCUGUCUUUAGUAUGUUUCCCAAUUUAAAGAUGUUUCAACUACGUGGCGUAGGGAAAGACUUUGAUAGUUUGUUGUUCUGUGAUUUUCUGCUGCUUAGAUCAGCUCGAGAAACUGGAAAUUUGUCUGAAUGAUUCUGCUAGUCAAUGCAUUACACCUUCAGGUGUUAUUUUCAGACGAAAAUGAUGGAACUGAUGGAGAAUCCGCUUCCUGAAAAUUUUGUUCCAGAUCUGAUCCUACUUCCUCCAUAUGCUUUUCCACAAAACCUUGAGAAUUUAGCUUUUUCCAGUACUACUUUGCAUUGGAAGGAUUUGAGCAUUCUUAGUAAGUUGCCCAAACUCGAGGCCCUCAAACUUAUACAUAAUGCCUGCAAAGGAGAGGAAUUGGAAGUAGUUGAUGAAGGUUUUCCUUGUUUGAAGUUCUUGAUACUGAGUUAUUCAGACAUUCAGUACUGGAGAGCUAGCUGUGAUCACUUUCCAUGUCUUGAAUGACUGUUUCUUGAACAUUGCUUUGCUUUGGAUUCAAUUCCUCAAGAUUUUGCCGAUAUAACUACACUUGCUCUUACUGAUAUAAGGAGGUGUGCAAAAUCUGUUGAGAAUUCUGCCAAACAAAUUCAACAGGACAUUCAAGACAAGUGCAAGUUCCGUUAAGGUCCAUAUCCUCUAGCCUUGUAAGAUAUCACCUUCCUUCAUUUGCUUCUUAUUUUCCUAUUUUUCUAGGCAUGUUGACAGUUUUUUAGGCAUUCCAUUUUCAAUUUCAGUUGUAAUGUUCCUGUAUUUACUUAACAGUUUGAAGUUCAAUAAAAGACAGUUCUUCCGACUCAAUUCUUCUUGCUUCUGCAAUUUUAGCAACAUACGAACCUACAGAAAGUCUCAAAUAGGGAAAAGGGUGCUUGGUUUUUCCUACCUAAACAAACGUUCAUCCUCAAAUGAGUUUAGAAUUGUAUAUUCUAAGCUGCCAAGUAAUUUUGGAUAUCUGUUCCGCAUGUCUGACUCAGUGUCCCAAGUAGCCUAUGAUAUCAUUGCACUUUCAGCGAAGCCAUCUCUUCUGACCUCAACUUCUGGACUUGUCUGUCUAAAAUAGGCACAGACUCCUCCUCAAAUGUAAGAUUCCGAUAAAGCUUCACCUUAUCCUACUGUAGCAUGUGGGACUUAUCCUCGUGAUAUUUCUUCAACAUCUACACAUCGGAAAAAUUCCAGAUGAACACUUGUUAAUCCCCAGUUCACCCUAAAAUUAGAAUAUCUAUGCAGAACAUGCAUAGAUAUCUGUAAUAGUAUCAAAAACUUAUCUCUUAUGAAGAACCACCUUUUUCACCAAAAUAUAUCCAGUUUUAUCUACAUGAUUCCUCCUCCAUACAUGUUAUAGUUAUAUCUCUAUAGCUUAAGUCAUCAACUAAGACUAGGUCUUUUCAAUAUAAUCUACAUACUGAAAUUAUUGGAAAGAAAAAUAUACCUAGUAUAAAGUAUCGAUUAACUGUUGUUGUAACGAAAGUGUAUAUAUAUCAAUACAUAUAGCUACUAUAAACUAAAAAUCAGCAUAGACCUUAACUUGAAUACCCAAAGUUCUGAAAUCAAAUCCUACUCAGUUGGUAACUUGUCUAGAAGCGAUUAUUUUCUUCUUCUAUAAUGCCUUUUACCUCGUUGCUUCUUUCUACUUCGCGUAAUAAUUUUGUGUUCCAACUCUUCCAUGAUUCUUGCUAGCCAUUUUGGAGUUUGAGUUGAGAUCAUGAAAUAUAUUAUGGAUAAUCCAAUACAUAGUCCACUUCCAUAGCCCAUAAGAGCAGCUUUCCAAAAAUCAUUCAGAAACUCCGAAUUGCUUUCUUGUUCGUCUGGUGCAGAUACGGUAUCAUUUGUCUCUGAUACCUGAUCAUUACCACAACCUUUUGAAACUGGAAAUCCAUGUAAUCCAUCAUUACCUUCAUAUGAACUGUUCUGAAAUGUAGCAAACUGAGGUCCUUGAGGAAUGCAUCCUUCAAGAUGAUUGUAGGAGAGAUUUAAAACUGCAAGACUUGUUAUAGAAGCAAGUUGUUCCGGUAUCUCUCCUGAAAGGUGGUUGAAUGAAAGGUCAAAUGAUUCUACUACCGCUAAAUUUCCAAGUGAUGGCGGUAUAUGACCUUGCAACCCAUUGUUAGACAAAUUCAACACCCGAAGUGCAAUGAGAUCUCCCAUAAUACUUGGAAUAAGUCCUUCAAAUUUGUUACUUGAAAGAUCCAUACUCGUGUAUAAAUACAAGAUUCUCACAACUUCAAACAUGCGUCCCUUCAUUACAACAACUACCGAGUCUUGGUAAUAGUGGCUUCCUUCAAUUGGUGCAUUCUUUGUUUGAUUAGUUGUCUUCAUGGCGUUCAAAUGUUGAAAUAGACUUGUCGGCAAGUUUCCUGUGAAGGCAUUGCGAGAGAGAUCUAAUAUUCGAAGACCAGGAAACAUGUUUCCAAUCCUUGAAGUUCUAAUGGGUCCAUGCAAUUUAUUCGAUCUCAAACUUAAAACCUGCAACAUUGAUAGAGUUCCCAACCACAUGGGGAAUGUAUCAUUGAGGUGAUUGUCUCCUAAAUCAAGAACUUGCAACUCUUUACAAUUGGCUAAAGAUCGAGGGAUUUUCCCUUGUAGUUCAUUUCCAUGAAAGUUGAAGGUUCUAAGUGAACAUCCAAUAUCAAAACUUGUUGGAAGAAUCCCAGAAAGAUUGUUGCAGCGCAUAUCCAAAAUGGAGAGGCCACUGAUAUUACCCAAACAUUGUGGAAUCUCUCCCCUGAAAUUGUUUCUUGCGAAAACUAGAGUUUGUAGUGAUGUCGAAUUGCAAAUAGACAAAGGGAUCACACCUGAAAACUGGUUGUUACUAAGAGAAAGGAACUCAAGAAGCUUCAGACUGCCGAGGUUAGAAAUGCUGUCGGGCAGCUCACCACUAAACCGGUUAGUGUUGAGGUCAAGGGUUUGAAGAGAUGUCAAUUUGCCAAUCUCAGAAGGAAUGGUUCCACUGAUGUUGUUCCGAAAAAGCUGCAACGUCCUUAGAUUGGUCAGGUUUCCAAUGGUUGGAGGUAUUGUGCCUGAAAGCUGGUUCUCAGAGACAUCUAGAUCCAGCAAGUUUUGCAACUUACCAAUCUGAUAGGGAAUGGAACCAGUGAAAUUGUUACUAUAGAGGUAAAGAUAUACGAGGUUUUUCAACUGGCUGAUUUCAGGUGGAAUUUUCCGUGAAAAUGAAUUGUUUUGAAGCUGCAAAGAUGUCAGCUCAGUCCAAUUGGUAAUGAGAUAUGAUUGAACCUCACCAGAAAGAAAAUUAUCAGACAAGUUCAAGUCAGAUAACUUGGUCACCGCGGACAAGGAUAUAGGCAAUGGUCCUUGCAGGAUAUUCUCUGCUAGAGCCAAGAAAAUGAGGUUAGUACAAAGACCUAACUCAGAAGGAAUGGUUGAACUCAAACGAUUCUUUCGAAGAUCAAGUUGUUGAAGAUUUCUAAGUCUACCUAUAGAAGAUGGAAUCUUUCCUUGAAGUGAAUUAUUGAAAAGUACAACAACUUCAAGACUGCUGAUCAGAGAAAUUUCAUCAGGAAUUAAGCCCGAAAACAUGUUGACACCAAGCUGAAGUUCUUUUAACUUGGUCAACUUGGUAAAAUUUGGUGACAAUGAACCUUGAAAUGAAUUAGAUGAAAGAUUGAGUUGUUCAAGCUUAUCCAAGUUGGUGAAUAGUGUUUCUGGUAUUGAACCAUUCAAAUGGUUUAUCGACAAAUCGAGGUAAGUCAGAUUAUGGCAACGGAGUACAAAUUCAGGGAAUUCUAAUGUUAGUUCAUUAUAACCAAAGCUCAAAUAUGUCAACAUAGGCAUAUUCCUCAAUUUGGACCAAUCAGGAGUUUCUAAAAAAUUUGAUCCAAGAUCCAAGUGCCAUACCUUCUGAAGAUUACUUAUUUGGUAGGGAAUAACAUCAAUGAUAUUGUUGUUAUAGAAACUGAGAUAUUCAAGUUGUGUUAACUUCUCAAUCUCUUCUGGUAUGACACCCUCCAAGAUAUUGUUGCUCAGGUCCAAGAAAGUGAGCAUAGAAGCAUUGCCAAUAUUUGAUGGUAUCGAUCCACUUAAGUUGUUGCCAUUGAGAGAAAAACUUGUGAGACUCGGAAAUGAAGUGAAGUCAAGCUGAUCAAGAGUGCCUGAGAGGCCUGCAUCAGAAAGAUUGAUAUCGGAAAUUGUUCCACCAGCAUUGCAGACAAUAGAUGUCCAAUUGCACAAGUUUCCGAGAUUCGAAAUGGACCAUGAAUCCAAGAAAGAAGCAGAAGAUAAGUUCAUCUUCCAUUUGACAAGAGCUUCAGCUUCAGUUGUUGCUGAUGAUGUAAUUGUGAAUGGAAGUGAAAAAAGAAGAAGCACAAGUAGAAUGUAAAGGAAGGUACUGUGAGAAGUUGUCAUGUCUAAUAGGUAGAGUACUUGGUUUCAAGAACAAUAAUACAACUUUUUUGAGCUUUUACAUUAAAAGGGUUCUCAUAGAUAUAUAUACUAGCGGACGAUGACUUGUAAGCCUUGAAGCCAAAGGGGAAAAAGAUUAUGAUAAUCGGGAUUGAUGUACAAUUGAAUCACAAAGUUGAAGAAAGAAAAAGUUUAGAAAAAUUGAAUCACAAAGUUCAUUUCGAGGUCAUUAACUAUCGCUGCAGUGUGUGUUAGACAAGAUGAUGUGAAGUUGAUCCCAUUAUGUGGAAAAAAUUUCUGCAGAACUUCUAAGAAAUUUCCAAUGACGGAAACUAUUGCUUGACUAAGUCAAGUGAGGAAAAAAAUGAAUAAUAAUACCGUGUGGAAUUUUAUUUUUUUUCUUUUAUUUGCUUUUUAUUCAAAAUUUUGUUUGAUAUGUGUCUUAAUUUUCUGCAUAAUUAGCAUGUGUUUGAAUAACUUGGUGAAUAUCAUUUUAUGAGAAAUUUCCAAGAAGAAAAAUCAGGGACGGCUCAACAUAAUUUGUGGCCUAAAGCGAAAUUUUUAUUAGAGGCCUAAAAAUCUAUAUAAAUUUUAUCUAUAUCUAUUUAUUUUUCUAAAUUUCUAGAUGUAAAUUACUACUUAAUAUCUUUUAUAUAAAUGAUUUUUCAAACACUUUUUUUUAAUUAUUAGUUUUAAGUAAGAUUUUAUCAAUUCAGCAUUGAAAAAACAUCCUUUUAUUGAGACAAUUAUUAUAUGAAUUAUUAACACAAUUUUAUAAGUAAUAAGUUGAUAAACUUUAAAGAUAAGAGUUAGAAUCAUAGAAUCUGAUUCAAAAAGUUGAUAACUUGGUAUACCUACUUUAAUUAUGAAGAUUUAACAAAAUUAAAAUUUUUUUUUAAAAAAAUUUAGUAUGCACUUUGUUCAACACUUUUCGACUAUUGAUUCAUAUUUUUGAAAGUGUAUUACUCUAACUAUCAAAGAUUUGAAGAAAUAGAGUGCAAAAAGAGUUACAAAGGAUAAAUAAUGUGAGUGUUAACGAAGAAAAUGUAAGAAUCCAAAACAAUGUUUCCUUAAUUUCUUCUAUUUGAAUGGGGUUAAGAUACAUAAUUUUUUAUUUAUAAAAAUUUGAGAUGCCUAAAAUUUUAUAGGCAAGAGCCGGCCCUGAGAAAAAUGUGAAUUAUAUUGGGAUUUUUCUGGGGAUUAUUAAUGAAAAUUCGCAGGAAAAUAUGUUUCCUACGGAUUUUCCUAUCAAAAAGAAUCCGAAGUUUUUAACGGCAAUUAAUUAAGUUUAAUUGCCGCUAAAUAUGUAUUUUUAAAGGCAAUUUACACUCUUGCAUAUGUCCCUAAACCCUUUAGCGAUAUUGGAUCUAACGAUACUUAACUAUUAAUGUGUAUAUUUAUUGCCGCUAAAAGUUGUUUUUGUUGUAGUGUUUAUUGCAGUGAUUGUAAUUCAAAGAAUACACCAAAAAACAAAUUAGAUCUUUUUUUUUAACACCCAACAAUUUAUUUUGCAUAAUGCAAAAGGUUUUACUGUUUGGUAGGCUUUAGAAUAUUCAAUAAUUAAUAAAUAAAAAUAGUAAUAGGAAUUAAAAGGUAAAAAUAAUAAUAUGGGUUCAUGAAGAUCGUCAAUAUAUAAAUAAGUCAAUAAAAUAAGUAGUCAUGUAAGAAAGAAUGUUAUAAUUAUCUAAACACUAUUUUAUUUCUUAAUUAUUACAACGAACAGUUAACUAAACACUAUUUGAUAAAGUAACGUUGUUGACUUGUCUAUGCAUGGGACUAUGAGGUAUAAAAUGGGGUACUAACUAAUUUGUGGUUGCAAAAAAAGUUGUCCCAAGUGUUAACUCAAGUCUUUAAGUAAGUGUUGGUAGAUAGUACCACUUUCGCAUCACCAACUACGUAACUUGUGGUCCAUGGAUGAGUACUACUCACUUCUAACAACUUGUUACUCAUAUUUUGUAGUGUUCCACAAGACUUUUUAGAGGACGGAAAAGACUUAACAAAAUAAUACUCUCUAUGUCCUAAUUUUCUCUAGAUGUUGAGUUCAUUUCGAGCUCAUUAACUAUUGAUGCAGUGUGUGUUAGGCAAGAUGAUGUGAAGUUGGUCCCAUUAUGUGGAAAAAAUUUCUGCAGAACUUCUAAGAAAUUUUCAAUGAGAGAAACUAUUUCUUGACUAAGUCAAGUGAGGAAAACAAUGAACAAUAAUACCGCGUUGAAUUUUAUUUUUAUUCUUUUAUUUGCUUUUUAUUCAAAAUUUUGUUUGAUGUGUGUCUUAAUUUCCUGCAUAAUUAGAAAUUUUAUGAGAAAUUUCCGAUUAGUUGUCUCUUGUGCUGUUUUCCAAGACAUUUCACAUUUAGUUAAAGAGGGAAACUCCAUCUAUAUGAUACAGUUCAAACAUGAAGAGAUGGAGAAUAACUAAAGUAGUAGAGCGGCUGUUUUCGUAGACCACUACAGAAAAAAUGUGAAUUAUAUAUUGGGAUUUUUCUGGGGAUUAUUAAUGAAAAUUCAUAGGAAAAUAUGUUUCCUACGGAUUUUUCUAUCAAAAAGAAUUCGAAGGUAAAACCUUCGUAGGUAAUUAUUUCCUGUGAAUUUCAAAAUCCCCAAGUAAUUUAUUUAGGGAUUUAAAUAUCGCAGGUAAAUAACUUGCGAAUUUUCUUGCAAAAAACACCAAAAACAUCCCAAAUUUUUUCCAAUUUAUUCUCAAGUAAAUCCGCAGAAAGAUAUUCUAAUAAAUCUUUAAAAGUUUCUUGUAAAUAAUAUUAACUAUUAUUUUCCAGUUACAUCUAACACCACUCACCCCACUGCCCACCCAUUUAUCUUGCAUACCAUUUUUCAUACCACUUGAACACAAUUUUAAUUCCCCCACCCAGAGUGCCCAGUUGAAUUUGUUGGUGCCCACCCAUUUAUUGUUGCUCUUUGAAAUUUUAUUCCACUUGUGUUUAGUCGUAGCAUUAUAAAUGCUAAUCAUUUCAUGCCAUAUCAAUAAGGUUAAAAAAUAUAUCUUAAAUGUUGGCUAAAGUUCAUUUGAUUUAACUCUUAAAAAGUGAAAAUAUAUAUUUAAAAUAAGGUAAAAUAACUUUAAAGGAUUGCUUAAACUGAAGCAAAGCAGAAGCUUCAGUGGGAGAGCAAAGAUGAUGAUCAAAGGAAGAACAAAAGCAUCCACUUAUUAACAACACAAAACAGAGAAAUGAAUAAAAGAAAAAGAAACUAACCAUUUUUGUUUCUUUGUUUUCAGCAAAUAACAGGAUGUGUUCUUCUUACAAAUCAAUUAGCAUUAUCCAUACAUAUAACUAUGCUACUUUCUAAGUUGCACGUGUGUCCCACGUAAAUUUUUAUAGAUUCAUAAGAACAAUCAAAAUUCUAAGAAAACAUGCCUGCAGAGCUGUCUUAACAAGUUUGGGGGCCUAUAGCCAAAUUUCACUGCGAGAUUUUUUUAGUUGUCAUACAUAAAUUGAAUACCUAUAACAUAGUGAUUAAUGUAAUCCUACAAGUAAAGUUUCAAGAAGGUAGGAUGUACACAAAGUCAUAGACCAUUAUAAAGUAAGAAUACAAACAACAAAAAAUUUCAAUGAAAAAUUAUAUAAUAUUAAGUUAGAUUAAUAAAAUCUUACUCAAAACCACAUAAUAUUAAUUAUGCACUAUUCUCUAAAGUCACUCAACUAUAAAAAAAAUUUCCAGAAAGUCACUCAACUAUGACUUCUUUUCUUAGAAAGUCACUCAACUUUGAAUUUUAACUCAAAAGUCAAUCAAUUAUGAGUGUUUUACUUACAAAAUCACUCAACUAUAAGUAUUUUACUUACAAAGUCAUUUGACCUAUUUAAUUAAUUUUUUAACUUAAAUUUGCUGUAUAAAAUUUUAUUAAAAGCAAUUAAAAAAAUAAAAGAAUAUUCAUUUAAAUCAUUUAAUGAAUGACCUGCUAAAAAUAUAACAUUCAGUGAAAAAUGUAUUGUACAUUACUAAAUCAUUCAUUGGGACAAAUAAUUCCGACGUAAAAGAUAAUUAUUUUUUAAUAUUAAAUAACAUAUACCAUCUCAAGAAUGAGAUUUAAACCACAUAUAGAUACAUAUAAAUCAUAGAUAUCCCUGAAAAAGUAGAAUUUCUGACCGAUAGAACACAAAUAGAAUAAUAGGGCAAAGACAACUUGUAAGCUUUUAUAGAGUAUUGCAAUGUAAAGAAUAAAAAAAGGUUUUAAGAGAAAAUUAUUAAUGCGGAAGACGAAAGAAUAAUGCGGAAAAUGAAAGGUAGAAUCAAUCUUAAUAACUAAACAAAUAGUGAAUGGCCAUGUUCUGACUUAAUCAUAACUUAAAUGUGAAGCAUUAAACUAAUGUUGGAAUGAGUGUAAACGGAAGAAGCUCAAAGGAUAACAAUUAAAGCCUCAUUAAGAAAUGAUAAACUCUAACAGCUAACCAUGUAUUUGGUCUAAUUAACUUUUUUAUUAUUUAUUUAAUAAAAAAAAUAGUGAAGGGUAGUUUUGUAAUUCAACUUUGAGGUUAGGAGCUUCCCAUUUAUAGUAUAACUAGUCCUUAGGAACGUGCGUUGCACGUUUAUCCCAUAUUAUUAAAUUAUUAUAUAGAAAAUAUUGAAAUUAACAAUAUUAACUUUAUCAUUUACAUCAUAUUCAUUAAAUAAAAUUCAUAAUAGUGGAAUGUUUUUUUUUUUUUAAUUCAUAACAGUGGAAUGUUGCAUUUGCCAUCAAGCAAGAAAUGUGAAGCUAAUUAAGAUAAUAUAACAUGUAAUGGUAUGAAUAUGUCGAUAUAACUUAUCCUCAAUAAUCUCUCAUUAUGCACUUUACACAUAGAUCCCAUAUCCAAUUUGAAAACAUAAAAAGAAAAUUUUAAGAAUAAAUAUAAAAAUCACUUACAAAGGAACCAAUUUACAUGAAAUAAAACAAAAUUUUAAAUUUUUGGAACAUUUCCAAACACCUUCAACAGACAUGUAUCCUUCAUCUACAUCAAUUAGAAUAAAAAAUAAAAUAUAAAAAUUAUUAGUGUAUAAAAGAGUAUAUAUUUUUAUUUCAUUCUAAUCCAUACAUAGUGAUAAAAUCUAUUGUCUUCCAAAUAUUCAUUCUCUAUCUAUCAAUAUUAUCACAUAUGAUGACGUCUUCGAUCCAAAUGCAACACUAAUGCUACUAUCCCUAACAGUUCUAAAAAGACAAUGAUAUUCUUUUUCUUCUGUACCUAGAAGAUCUAGUGUAAAGGAACCAAAAAAGUAAUAUUGGAGCAAAAUGAGGUAAACAACAUAAUAGUUAGAUAUGGUCAUAAUUAUUAUCUAGAAUAAUUUUCUUCCAAAGAUGAUAGCUAGGUCAGGUCUGAAACAUGAAAAAUUAAGCUCUAACAAAAUAAGGUGAAAAAUUAAAUGGAAGAAAGAAAAGCAACGACUAUAUAUAUAUAUUAUAUUAUGUGAAAUGACAAAGAAAGGAAGAAGAGAGUUCAAUUCACUUACCCAAAGUAUGUAAAUCAGUGAAAGCACCGAUUUGAAUUCCUCCGACAAUUACCUAAAAACUAAAUAUUAAAAGAGAAUUUUCUCAAAAUAUGAAAAUAUAUUAGAUAAUGUUAAAAACUAACUUUGUGAAUAGAUGGAUUUCAACCUCCGUGAAAAUUUUCAAUAUCCAUUUCCAUCAUUGCAUGCUCCGUAUGAACUUUUAGAACUUAUACACAUUUUUCUUCUGUAAAAAGCAAAAAAAUACAAUGAAAGUAAUAAGUAAUCAACUAAUGUAUUUAGAGAAAAAUGAAAAUUUUAUUUAAUAAUCAUGCAUUUUUGCAAAAAUAAUGACCAUCGGCUGGCCACCUCUUUGCUACACAAAUAUUAUAUAUAGCUCUCCAAAUUUAUUACCCUCGCAACUCUUCAUUCUCUUUAUUUUAUAUUAUAGCUCUCAAAAUUUAUUACCCUUGUAACUCUUCGUUCUCUUUAUAUUUUAUUAUCAUAAUUAUAUAGCAAUAAAGUGAACAUUUCUCUCAUAAUUAAUUACCUUGCAACUCUUCAUUCCCCUUCUUUAUUAUAAUUAUUAUAACAAUAGGUGAAUAUUUAUAAGUAGAGAGAGAAUAAUUAAGAUUAGGAAGGAAAUGAGAAGCCAACAAACGGAGAAAACAAACAAGUAGGUAUAUGAUGAUUAGCAUUAGUAUAAUAAUAUAAUAAUAUGCUAUAUGAUUGUUAUUUAAUUAAUUAAUUUUUAUUACUUUUUUAAUUUAAUAUAGGGAUAUUUUCGUAAUUCAACUCUUGAAGUUAAGCUCUUCCCACUUAUAAUAAUAUAUGAUAUGAUGAUAUGAUAGAGAGAGAGGUGAACCACAAUUUUUUUGUGGAAGAACCAAACAUAUCAAAGAUGCAUGGAUAUAAUGAAAUGGAAACGCGUAUGAAUUUGAGGGUUCAAUUCAGGUGUGGUCAGUUUAAAUUGGUAUGAGUACCGCGUUGGAAGUGGCCCUACCAGUACCAGAAGUGAUAAUAAAAGUGGGAAUGCUGUUACUAGAACGAAUGCAAGUAUUGAAAGCUGGCUGGACAUCAUGGGAUAACUAUUUCCUUUAGUAGUGAAACAAUGGAAAAUUGUGGUCACUGGAUAAACUUUGAAAGAUUGAUCCAACUUUAAUGUCCUUUUCUUUAGAAAUUAUUUUUGGGAAAAAGGACGAAUUUACCCCCGAACUUUGAUAAAUGGUACGUCUAUGCCCUCCGUUAUACUUUGGGUCCAUCUCAGCCCCUGCCGUCCAAUUAUCGGUACACACAUGCCCCUCUCACUAACGGCCCCCUCAUCCUGUACACGAGUUUUAAUCCUAAUCAACUAUCCAUUUGACCAUUAUUUUUAACCCAUAAACUAACAACCCGCCCCAUAAACCCAUACCCACCCGAUUCCCUCUAAAAUAUCCUAAAUCAAUUAACAGAUCCAAAUCUUCCGGGUCUCUCGUUCCUCUCACAAUAGAGUUGAAAAAUGAGAAUUGAGUAGUACUUUUAUAGUACUGGUGAGAAAUCUCACGGCGGUAAUGAUGUUGAUGCUGAUGCUGUUGAUGAUGAGAAUACUUUGAUAGUACUAAUGAGAAUCUUUCUCAACCGAAGGAAGAAGCUGAAUCAGCGUCGUGGAUCCUUCCGACACCGAAAGAAGGGAUUACAGCUCCGACGGAGUUGUGCCGGUGCAAAACAACAACGAAACAAGUACUCAUUUACCAUGUUCAGUCGUUGAUGGAUUCCCUACCUACGAAAUCGAUUUCGCUGGAUCUAAACCUUACAUGUACAAUUUCACCUCUCAAUCCAUUAGCCAAAGUGUAUGCAUCUGUAUCUUCUCUCGUCUAUUUCCUUCUUCCUCUUCCUUCACGUGAAUCGAUCUCAUUUUGCUUUUGUUUAACUAAUAGGUUUCAUCAUCAUCUCUUGACGUCGGAGUUGUACCGGACCACAGUGCAAUGACGGAUAUAUCAAACACUUUUGUGAUGAACUCAUCAGCCGGUGCGGAUGUCAACGCUCUGCCGAAUGCAAUUUCCGGUUUAGACAGAGAAGCAAGGGUAAUGAGGUAUAGAGAGAAGAGGAAGAAUAGAAAGUUCGAAAAGACGAUUCGAUAUGCUUCUAGAGAAGCUUAUGCUGAGACUCGACCCAGAAUCAAAUGGAGAUUCGCUAAACGUACUGAAAUUGAAAUCGAUUCACUCAUCGCCGUCGAUGCAUCAUAAGGCGUCGUUCCAUCGUUUUAGUUUUUAUAUCUAUUUAUUAUCCCUUAGUUUUAAAAAAAAAUCGAAGAAAAAAUCGAAUUUUAUUUUUCUUUUUUCUUCUUUAUGUUGUUGUUAUUAGUGAGGAGGAUCGUAACUAUGUGUUCAUAUAUCUAAUUUUGUUUCCCAUUUUGUGUAAUUCAGUAGCUGUUUUUUGUUGUAAGUUUUAGCUUCAAAACUACUAAUUUAAAAAAAAGGGAAAAAGGACGAAUUUACCCCCGAACUUUAAUAAAUGGUACGUUUAUGCCCUCCGUUAUACUUUACGUCCACAUAAGCCCCUGCCGUCCAAUUAUCUAUACACACAUGCCCCUCUCACUAACGGACCCAUUGUUUUGUACACGUGUCUUAAUCCUAAUCAAUUACCCAUUUGACCAUUCUUUUAACCCAUAAACCCACAACCCGCCCCAUAAACCCAAUAACCCACUCGAUUCCCUCUAAAAUAUCUAAGUUAAUUAAACAUUCCAAAGGAAGAGUCAGUGAAGGUUGAAAAUCACUCCAAUGGUGGCGGGUGCCGGUGGCCUUGUCGAUUUUCCAUCUUUGGCCGCUGCCGCCACCACCAAAACGAAGAAGAAGAAGCCAUAAACCCUAUCCCUUCAAGAGUUCAGCACUUGUAGCGCUGCUAAGCAAUCUCAAACUGCCGCCACUGUGGCAACCAAAGGCUUGACACCAGAGGAAGUUUUGAUGCUACAUUCUCUAGGGCUUCAAUUCUUUUACACUUUGGAAUUCCUUAAUUACCCUUUCCAAUUUAAUAUUUUCUUGGCGUUGUUCAUCUUGAGCUAUGUUAAUUUAUUUCUGUCUUCCAAACCUUCACAACUAUUGAUGCUUAACUAACAUACACUUGAUUAAUUUAUACAUUAUUAAAAUGCAAGAUUAAAUUAUUCAAUUACUGAUUAAAGUUGUACAGUAUACCUGAUUUAAAAAUACAAUAUAUAAUUAUGCAACUUGACUUAGGUUUAUUAUUUUAAUUGAAUCAGUACUAUUCUGUUCGUACGGUUACGACAGGCAAGGGGGAAGGGGUUCGUCGGACGAUUCUCGUAGGCAGGGAGGGUUCCGAAGGGAUACUAAUAGGGAAAUGGCUCCCUCUCGUGCCGACGAGACUGAUGAUUGGGGGUGCAGCUAAGAAAAACAUCGGCUGGUAAUGGUUUUGAAAGAAGGUGGAGAGAGGUGAAAGGGGAGGUUUUUUUUCCGAUUCCCAGUCUAAAGUUGAUGAAUCUGAUAAUUAGGCAGCGAAUAAAGCUUUUAUACCCUCUUCUGGUCGAAGAUUUGAUAGGAGAGGGAGUUUUGGGUCAAACGGUUAAUUCCGAUUCUGAUCGGUGGACCAAAAGGAAGGAAGAGGAAGGUGGACGGAGAUUUGUCUCCGGUGGUGGUGCAUUGACAGUUUAAGAGAAAGAAGAGGUGGGUUAUUAGGUUUAUGGGGCGGGUUGUGGGUUUAUGGGUUAAAAGAAUGGUCAAACGGGUAGUUGAUUAGGAUUAAGACACGUGUACAAAACAAUGGGUCCGUUAGUGAGAGGGGCAUGUGUGUACCGAUAAUUGGAUGGCAGGGGCUUAUGGGGACGCAAAGUAUAACGGAGGGCAUAGACGUACAAUUUAUCAAAGUUCGGGGGUAAAUUUGUCCUUUUUCCCUUAAAAAAUAGAAAUUUGUAAUGGAUAAAUUUUGUAUUAGAAUUGUAUUUAAUUUUGUUUAACAAUGCAUUAUAGAUAGGAACGAGAGACCCGGAAGAUUUGGGUCUUUUAAUUGACUUAGGAUAUUUUAGAGGGAAUCGGGUGGGUAUGGGUUUAUGGGGCGGGUUGUUAGUUUAUGAGUUAAAAAUAAUGGUCAAACGGGUUGUUAAUUAGGAUUAAGACACGUGUAUAGGAUGAGGGGACCGUUAGUGAGAGGGGCAUGUGUGUACCGAUAAUUGGACGGCAGGGGCUGAGAUGGACCCAAAGUAUAACGGAGGACAUAGACGUACCAUUUAUCAAAGUUCGGGGGUAAAUUCGUCCUUUUUCCCAUUAUUUUUUACCACCACCAAUUAAUUUGGCAGCAUGUUUAUCUUUCAAAGUUGAGUCCUUUCUUUGACUGCACUAAAAAUCAAGGGAAACUAUGCACAAACUUCCCACAUGGUACAAACAAUUGUCCAAAUGAUUUGCCUUUGCCCAUGUAGCUAAAAAUAUUACUCAGCUGCCCAUGCUUCUCUUUGGUGUGACAUUAGCGUGGCGUCAUGCUGGCAUGGAAGAUCACCGUCCUUCGUCUCCCAUGGACAGGCAAUACAAUGAUUCGAUACUCUGUGACAACUGGUCCAUACAUCUACUCUUCUACCCCUUAAAUACCGGGCUUUUUGUUAGCACCAAGAUUCGAACUCACACAACAUGCACUUAACCAAUACAUCACAUGUUGCACUUUUACCACUUGACUAAAACAUUGGGGGUUGAUUCUAAAAAAAAACUACCAGUAAGACAGAAACCAUACACAGAUGUUAAACUAGAGGUAAUGGACCAAACUGUGAUCACAUACGAGGUGCAAGCUGGCUGCACAUGAAUUUUUUUCGUCACCAAGCUUCUGAUCUUUUCCGAGGGUUGGGAAGGUUAUUUACAUGAAACCGAGACUCUGCAUUCAUGUCAUCUUCAGAAAAUUGAAAGGUGAAGCAAGUAAUGACUUUCAUGUCAAGUUAUAUUAGCGAUUAAGUUCAAUAUAAAGUAAGCAAACAUGAUCCCAUUCAUUACACUCUAAAGGUCCUAAAGCUGCCAACCAGCAUUUCACUAAGUCCAAUACCAUCUUGAAACACAAUAAGUCUUACAUCCACAGAAAAAAAAGAGAAGGGAGACUCAAAGAGUUGUGCCUCCGGUUUGAUGCAACAUUGCAUCAAUUUCAUCACCAUCUUCCAUCUCCAGCUGCAAAAAGGAGGAAAUUUGUAAGAAAAAUAAAUUAAUCACAAUUGUCAAGGACAAC
RNAcentral lists this long non-coding RNA (21837 nucleotides) under Solanum tuberosum (potato). Its description in RNAcentral is "long non-coding RNA (STUB_LNC011194)". Lineage: Eukaryota; Viridiplantae; Streptophyta; Magnoliopsida; Solanales; Solanaceae. The record is from RNAcentral.